GACGAACGCUGGCGGCGUGCUUAACACAUGCAAGUCGAACGGAAAGGCCCUGCCUUUGUGGGGUGCUCGAGUGGCGAACGGGUGAGUAACACGUGAGUAACCUGCCCUUGACUUUGGGAUAACUUCAGGAAACUGGGGCUAAUACCGGAUAGGAGCUCCUGCUGCAUGGUGGGGGUUGGAAAGUUUCGGCGGUUGGGGAUGGACUCGCGGCUUAUCAGCUUGUUGGUGGGGUAGUGGCUUACCAAGGCUUUGACGGGUAGCCGGCCUGAGAGGGUGACCGGCCACAUUGGGACUAAGAUACGGCCCAGACUCCUACGGGAGGCAGCAGUGGGGAAUAUUGCACAAUGGGCGGAAGCCUGAUGCAGCAACGCCGCGUGCGGGAUGACGGCCUUCGGGUUGUAAACCGCUUUCGCCUGUGACGAAGCGUGAGUGACGGUAAUGGGUAAAGAAGCACCGGCUAACUACGUG
Molecule: ribosomal RNA, 468 nt
Filed under: uncultured bacterium
Lineage: Bacteria
Description: partial 16S ribosomal RNA
Rfam family: Bacterial small subunit ribosomal RNA
Source: RNAcentral